AACGUAGGAGACAAACGUUAUCCGGAGUUACUGGGCGUAAAGGGCGUGCAGGCGGUCGACUAAGUCUGGCGUGAAAGCUCUCGGCUAAACCGGGAGAGGUCGUUGGAUACUGGUUGACUAGAGGACGGUAGAGGCGAGUGGAAUUCCGGGUGUAGUGGUGAAAUGCGUAGAGAUCCGGAGGAACACCAGUGGCGAAGGCGACUCGCUGGGCCGUACCUGACGCUGAUACGCGACAGCAUGGGGAGCGAACGGG
RNAcentral lists this ribosomal RNA (253 nucleotides) under uncultured bacterium. RNAcentral describes it as "partial 16S ribosomal RNA". It matches the Rfam family "Bacterial small subunit ribosomal RNA", at positions 524 to 776 of the family's 1533-position model. The record is from RNAcentral.